GCUUACGGCCACACCGCCUGGUUCACGCCUGAUCUCGGAAGCUAAGAUAGGUUGGGCCUGGUUAGUACUUGGAUGGGGAGACCGCCUGGGAAUACCAGGUGCUGCAAGCU
Molecule: ribosomal RNA, 110 nt
Organism: Scophthalmus maximus (turbot)
Lineage: Eukaryota; Metazoa; Chordata; Actinopteri; Pleuronectiformes; Scophthalmidae
Source: Ensembl